UCUACUUCUCAUCAAGAUGAUUCUGUGCUCCUGGCUGAGCUGCGUUAUCACGUACAAACGUUUUCUCUGAACUGCUCAUCCAUUUUUUGGCAUAAGGCACAUAAACUUCCCUGCCAAAAAAGAAAUCGUGUAAGGCAUUUCAGAUACUUCUGACAAAAGUGGAUGGUGAUGGUAGUGCUUUUAAUCAUUAGCAAAGUGUCCAGAGCACUCAGUGAUACAGAGGAUGCAGACUUGAUGCCACUCUCGGGUUAUGGGAGCCAUGGUCUGAACACUGAAGGAAACGAGUUCCCUGCUCACUGGGCUACAAUAUAUUGAAAUAGAUGUGCUCUCAACCUCUCAGCCCAACACUGUUUUGCUCCAGAAGCCUGUUAUCCUAAUCACCAGGUAAUACCCAAAAGUGCUGUUCACAUACAGAGGGGAGCACAGUGUAAAAGUCUAUUGUAGAAUAAUGGAGGAGAAAAUCUACAAGGAGGUGCAGAGACAGCUCUACCCAGAGAGUCCAGCUAAUUCUACAGGCAGGCAGGAUGACAACCAGGGGAUGGCUCCAGAAAUUACUCCCAUAUUACGUCUUCAACUCCCUUGCUUCUCUACCUCCAGCAGCAGCAGCAGCAGAAAGUGAG
RNAcentral lists this long non-coding RNA (620 nucleotides) under Apteryx rowi (Okarito brown kiwi). RNAcentral describes it as "lncRNA (ENSARWG00000003131.1)". Lineage: Eukaryota; Metazoa; Chordata; Aves; Apterygiformes; Apterygidae. The record is from RNAcentral.